Molecule: ribosomal RNA, 492 nt
Filed under: uncultured bacterium
Lineage: Bacteria
Description: partial 16S ribosomal RNA
Rfam family: Bacterial small subunit ribosomal RNA
Source: RNAcentral
AGUGAACGCUGGCGGUAGGCCUAACACAUGCAAGUCGAACGGCAGCACAGUAAGAGCUUGCUCUUACGGGUGGCGAGUGGCGGACGGGUGAGGAAUACAUCGGAAUCUACUUUUUCGUGGGGGAUAACGUAGGGAAACUUACGCUAAUACCGCAUAAGACCUACGGGUGAAAGCAGGGGUUCUUCGGACCUUGCGCGAUUGAAUGAGCCGAUGUCGGAUUAGCUAGUUGGCGGGGUAAAGGCCCACCAAGGCGACGAUCCGUAGCUGGUCUGAGAGGAUGAUCAGCCACACUGGAACUGAGACACGGUCCAGACUCCUACGGGAGGCAGCAGUGGGGAAUAUUGGACAAUGGGCGCAAGCCUGAUCCAGCCAUACCGCGUGGGUGAAGAAGGCCUUCGGGUUGUAAAGCCCUUUUGUUGGGAAAGAAAAGCAGCAGGUUAAUACCCCGCUGUUCUGACGGUACCCAAAGAAUAAGCACCGGCUAACUUCGUG